GAGCGAGCCCCCCACCCACGAGCCGUCAGCCCGCAUCUCUGGCAGCUCGCGCCUCUCUCCUCUGCUCCCCCGCUCCAGCCGCCUCUCCCCCGCUUCCCUCCCCUCCUCUCACAAACCCUAGCGCCGCCACACCCUGCGCAGCCGCUGCAUCCCUCCCCGCUCUCCACUCGACCGGCCCCAGAUCGAGCGGAUCGACGCCCAGAUCCGCAGCGGCACCGGCACGGGCGCGCCGUCGUCCAGCUGGUCCUCGAGGAUCGAUGGAUGGGGGUGGAACCCUAGCCCCACACCCACCCAUGGAUGACGACGGCAGCGGCCUUCUCUCGAUGGGGUGGGGAGCGAAGCUUCCUGAUGCGGUGGCCCUCGAUGCCUGCGACGGGCUGCAGCACCUAGACUUCAAAGUCAAAAGGAUGAGAGAUGGAGCUUGGGCCAACAAGCUCUGAGAAGAGCUGCUGUGUGCCUUCCAAACAUGUCUUUCUUGUGUCUGUCGGCCGGCCCCGAUGGAGCCUUGCAGCGGCUGGGCGUGACCAUGCUCUGCCUCCGCUGGUGAGAGCUGUGAGGAGUCAGAGAGGGAGAUUGAGGAGGAGGAAGAUGAUACACCCGGCAGCGCGACACAUGCGUCUCCCAACGGCGCUUGCAACGGGAGAUCCGUGGGGAGGGGGGUCGGGAGGAGGCCCCCAGCGGCGUGCUCGCACACGCAUUCCACGACGACCACAUCACCAGCGCCCCUGCCAUCCUCCUCCAAGCCCAUGGCCAGUGGCUCCCCAAGGCCAAGCUAUGUCAGGCUGCAGCAGCAAGGUGAGCCCCAUCACUCUGCGUUUAUUUCUUCAGAUCAUGCAGCAGCAAUGUGACUGAGGAAUCGAUGCUUUACAUAAUUGAUCAGUUAACUGGUAAUAUAUCUAUAGAAUAGCCAAGCAAAAAACAUUGCGUUUCCUAGAUGUUUCAUACGAUAUUAAAGUUGGAACCAGGCUAAUAGACAAAUUGUAUAUCCGAUUAUGCUAGAAAAAGGAGAAUAAAAAGUUUACUUUUAUGAUGGUAGGAUGUCUUCCUUAGUUUUGUUUCCUAUGUUCUCUCAAAAAAAAUCUGGGCUACACCAUCAGUAUCAACACCGGUAAAAAGAAUCCAAUCAAAACAUGAUGUUUUCCCCUUGGCUAUAUGUUUAUUUGAAGGAAACCAUUCAAUUCUCAGUGAUCUUUCAUUAUGCUCCUUAUUGCCAUUUUUCCUAAUGUGCCUAUAGAAGUGAUUUAUCAGGUGUUUUGAUAUAUUAUCUUAUAAGGGAAUGCCAAAGUUUUUUUGGAUUGUGAAUUCUCUGGUCAGAAUCGGUUGUUUUUCCCUUGUGUUCAUUUAUUUCUCAGAUUGCAGAACUGACGAGUGUAGACUAAGUUGAUGAUCUAUAGGUGUUGCUCCUCUCCCCUGAUGUGUAGUGCAACUAUAAAUAGGGAGAGAAUUGUGUGAGGAGAGCUCUCUUGCUACUGUUCUGAGCUCACUCUUUGACUAAUCUAAAUGUUGUCUCUGCUCACUGAUCGAUCAAGGAAGACACUGAUAUAUCAGCAAGGACCAGCACAAAAAGAAGACCAAUUAAGUUACUUGUGUUUAAGAGUACACUACUUUUGACUUUGGAGUCACACUGGUGCAUGGGGCGUCGCAUGGUCUAUGCUGGAGGUGUUCACAUAUAACAAGUUCACUAUUUGUUCCAUUGGUCAGUUGUAUAAUCUGUGGGCGUAUUUAAGUUGAACUAUGCUCCUUUCUUGGUAUUUGGAGACAAGAUACUGGCAGUUUUUACGUUACAAGACUGUUUAUUAGUUAUUUGUAGUUUUGUAACACUCUCCAUUGUCAAUGGUAGUUCAGAUUCUUCAGGAAGAAUGGGUCUUGUAUUUAUAUUAUUCAAUUGUGCAAUAAUAGAUAGAUAACAAAAGAUAGAUACUUAAGAAGUUUA
Molecule: RNA transcript, 1933 nt
Organism: Triticum aestivum (bread wheat)
Lineage: Eukaryota; Viridiplantae; Streptophyta; Magnoliopsida; Poales; Poaceae
Exons: 3
Source: RefSeq, a predicted model, not a curated record